UGGGAGCCCCUCCUGUGUUCACCGUCCCCGGGGUGAGGGCUAACAAAGGACCGAGGAGAAGCAGGUGGAGCGCCAGAGACGAGAGCAGGAGCGGGGUGAAGCCCGUUAUAGAGUGCGCGCUUCCACUUCUCCACGUCUCCACCUUACUUCUCUCCACCCUCGUUCCGCUCCGGCUAGGUGGCCACUUCCAGGACCGCCUGCACCGCCCGACACCUUCCCCCAGGCUCCCCCGUCUCUCUGCCGGCCUGGAGAGUUGGCAUCUACCCGCUGUGCUCCGUGGAGCUGGAGGCGUGAGCGCUAGGAUCGGCGCGGCGGCGGCAGCAUCUCUCCUCUUGUUCAUUCACAUCCAACAUGGCUCACACACUCACACUGACUGGCGGGCUGGCUCACACACUGUCGCUCAGCGUGUGUGUGUGUGUGUGUGAGAGAGAGAGAGAGAGAGAGAGAGAGAGAGGCAGUAUAAAUGUGUAGCAUCCAUCCAUACGCACACACACACACGCACACACACACGCAAUCACGCUCUCCUCCAUCUCGCCUCCCCUCCCCCUUUUGCUUGCAUCUCCACCGCCUCUCCCUCUCUCCUUUUUCUCUUUAAAUGCGCGGCUCCGGUAAGAAGGGCUGUUACACAGCACCCGCGGCGUCGCCAUCCCCGCAGCUGGAAAAGGAUGGAGAAGCAGUCCGUAUCACACCGUCAUCUCCUUACAAUGAAGCGUGACCAUCCCUACAGACAGUGCCCGGCCUGCGGGCACUGUCAACAAGAGCACAAACUUAUGAUGUGAUGAAAGGGAAUCCUCUGAAACUUAAAUAAAUGCAUAUAAGCUAAAGAAA
Long non-coding RNA from Xiphophorus hellerii (green swordtail), 828 nucleotides. RefSeq lists it as uncharacterized. The transcript is spliced from 2 exons. NCBI's taxonomy places the organism in Eukaryota, Metazoa, Chordata, Actinopteri, Cyprinodontiformes, Poeciliidae. The record is from RefSeq and is a predicted model, not a curated record.